GAUGAACGCUGGCGGCGUGCCUAAUACAUGCAAGUCGAGCGAACAGACGAGGAGCUUGCUCCUCUGACGUUAGCGGCGGACGGGUGAGUAACACGUGGAUAACCUACCUAUAAGACUGGGAUAACUUCGGGAAACCGGAGCUAAUACCGGAUAAUAUAUUGAACCGCAUGGUUCAAUAGUGAAAGACGGUUUUGCUGUCACUUAUAGAUGGAUCCGCGCCGCAUUAGCUAGUUGGUAAGGUAACGGCUUACCAAGGCGACGAUGCGUAGCCGACCUGAGAGGGUGAUCGGCCACACUGGAACUGAGACACGGUCCAGACUCCUACGGGAGGCAGCAGUAGGGAAUCUUCCGCAAAGGGCGAAAGCCUGACGGAGCAACGCCGCGUGAGUGAUGAAGGUCUUCGGAUCGUAAAACUCUGUUAUUAGGGAAGAACAAAUGUGUAAGUAACUAUGCACAUCUUGACGGUACCUAAUCAGAAAGCCACGGCUAACUACGUG
This 497-nucleotide ribosomal RNA is filed under the name uncultured bacterium. RNAcentral describes it as "partial 16S ribosomal RNA". It matches the Rfam family "Bacterial small subunit ribosomal RNA", at positions 28 to 507 of the family's 1533-position model. The record is from RNAcentral.